UACAGAGGGUGCAAGCGUUAAUCGGAAUUACUGGGCGUAAAGCGUGCGUAGACGGUUAUGUAAGUCGGGUGUGAAGGCCCCGGGCUCAACCUGGGAAUGCCAUUCGAGACUGCAUAGCUAGGGUGCGGAAGAGGGAAGCGGAAUUUCCGGUGUAGCGGUGAAAUGCGUAGAUAUCGGAAGGAACACCAGUGGCGAAAGCGGCUUCCUGGUCCAGCACCGACGUUCAGGCACGAAAGCGUGGGGAGCAAACAGG
Molecule: ribosomal RNA, 253 nt
Filed under: uncultured bacterium
Lineage: Bacteria
Description: partial 16S ribosomal RNA
Rfam family: Bacterial small subunit ribosomal RNA
Source: RNAcentral